AUUGAACGCUGGCGGAAUGCUUUACACAUGCAAGUCGAACGGCAGCACGGGAGCUUGCUCCUGGUGGCGAGUGGCGAACGGGUGAGUAAUACAUCGGAACGUACCCAGUUAUGGGGGAUAACUAACCGAAAGGUUAGCUAAUACCGCAUACGCCCUGAGGGGGAAAGCGGGGGAUCGUAAGGCCUCGCGUAAUUGGAGCG
RNAcentral lists this ribosomal RNA (200 nucleotides) under uncultured bacterium. RNAcentral's name for it is "partial 16S ribosomal RNA". It matches the Rfam family "Bacterial small subunit ribosomal RNA", at positions 30 to 228 of the family's 1533-position model. The record is from RNAcentral.